CCUACGGGGUGCAGCAGUGAGGAAUAUUGGUCAAUGGGCUUACGCCUGAACCAGCCAAGUCGCGUGAGGGAAGACUGCCCUAUGGGUUGUAAACCUCUUUUGUCAGGGAGCAACGCCGGCUACGUGUAGCCGGACUGAGAGUACCUGAAGAAAAAGCAUCGGCUAACUCCGUGCCAGCAGCCGCGGUAAUACGGAGGAUGCGAGCGUUAUCCGGAUUUAUUGGGUUUAAAGGGUGCGUAGGCGGAAUGCCAAGUCAGCGGUAAAAGCGCGGGGCUCAACCUCGCUCCGCCGUUGAAACUGGCGUUCUUGAGUGGGCGAGAAGUAUGCGGAAUGCGUGGUGUAGCGGUGAAAUGCAUAGAUAUCACGCAGAACUCCGAUUGCGAAGGCAGCAUACCGGCGCCCAACUGACGCUGAAGCACGAAAGCGUGGGUAUCGAACAGGAUUAGAUACCCUGGUAGUC
Molecule: ribosomal RNA, 460 nt
Filed under: uncultured bacterium
Lineage: Bacteria
Description: partial 16S ribosomal RNA
Rfam family: Bacterial small subunit ribosomal RNA
Source: RNAcentral